RNAcentral lists this ribosomal RNA (800 nucleotides) under uncultured bacterium. RNAcentral describes it as "bacterial SSU rRNA". It matches the Rfam family "Bacterial small subunit ribosomal RNA", at positions 72 to 869 of the family's 1533-position model. The record is from RNAcentral.
GGUAGGGGCAACUCUACUUCAGUGGCGGACGGGUGAGGAAUGCGUCGGAAUCUACCCUAUGGUGGGGGAUAACACAGGGAAACUUGUGCUAAUACCGCAUGACGUCGAGAGACCAAAGCAGGGGACCGCAAGGCCUUGCGCGAUAGGAUGAGCCGACGCCCGCUUAGCUAGUUGGUAGGGUAAAGGCCUACCAAGGCGACGAUCGGUAGCUGGUCUGAGAGGAUGAUCAGCCACACUGGGACUGAGACACGGCCCAGACUCCUACGGGAGGCAGCAGUGGGGAAUAUUGGACAAUGGGCGCAAGCCUGAUCCAGCAAUGCCGCGUGUGUGAAGAAGGCCUGCGGGUUGUAAAGCACUUUUGUUCGGGAAGAAAACGGAUCGGUUAAUACCCGGUUCGGAUGACGGUACCGAAAGAAUAAGCACCGGCUAACUUCGUGCCAGCAGCCGCGGUAAUACGAAGGGUGCAAGCGUUAAUCGGAAUUACUGGGCGUAAAGCGUGCGUAGGCGGCUUUUUAAGUCGGAUGUGAAAUCCCCGGGCUCAACCUGGGAAUGGCAUCCGAUACUGGGGAGCUAGAGUUUGGGAGAGGGUGGUGGAAUUCCCGGUGUAGCGGUGAAAUGCGUAGAGAUCGGGAGGAACAUCAGUGGCGAAGGCGGCCACCUGGCCUAAAACUGGCGCUGAGGCACGAAAGCGUGGGGAGCAAACAGGAUUAGAUACCCUGGUAGUCCACGCCCUAAACGAUGAGAACUGGACGUUGGGAGGAAUUCGCCUCUUAGUGUCGAAGCUAACGCGUGAAGUUCUC